This 90-nucleotide transfer RNA is filed under the name Apiosordaria backusii. It matches the Rfam family "tRNA". Rfam says of the family: Transfer RNA (tRNA) molecules are approximately 80 nucleotides in length. Their secondary structure includes four short double-helical elements and three loops (D, anti-codon, and T loops). The record is from Rfam by way of RNAcentral. Lineage: Eukaryota; Fungi; Ascomycota; Sordariomycetes; Sordariales; Lasiosphaeriaceae.
GGUUGCGUGGCCCAGUGGUUAAGGCAUCUGCUUUACAAGCUUAUUUAGCAGUAUCGCAGAGGAUCGCAGGUUCGAUCCCUGCCGCGAUCA